RNAcentral lists this ribosomal RNA (497 nucleotides) under uncultured bacterium. RNAcentral's name for it is "partial 16S ribosomal RNA". It matches the Rfam family "Bacterial small subunit ribosomal RNA", at positions 28 to 507 of the family's 1533-position model. The record is from RNAcentral.
GAUGAACGCUGGCGGCAUGCCUAAUACAUGCAAGUCGAGCGGCCGGACGUGAAGCUUGCUUCUCUUAUGUUAGCGACGGGCGGGUGGGUAACACGUGGAUAACCUACCUAUACAACUGGGAUAACUUCGGGAAACCGGAGCUAAUACCGGAUAAUAUUUUGCACUGCAUGGUUCAAAAGUGAAAGACGGUCUUGCUGUCAGUGAUAGAUGGAUCCGCGCUGCAUUAGCUAGUUGGUAAGGUAACGGCUUACCAAGGCAACGAUGCAUAGCCGACCUGAGAGGGGGAGCGGCCACCCUGAAAGUGAGACACGGACCAGACUCCUACGGGAGGGAGCAGGAAGGAAGCUUCCGCAAUGGGCGAAAGCCUGACGGAGCAACGCCGCGUGAGUGAUGAAGGUCGUCGGAUCGGAAAACUCUCUUAUUAGGGAAGAACAUAUGUGUAAGUAACUGUGCUCAUCUUGACGGUACCUAAUCAGAAAGCAACGGCUAACUACGUG